This is a non-coding RNA of Ictidomys tridecemlineatus (thirteen-lined ground squirrel), 72 nucleotides long. Lineage: Eukaryota; Metazoa; Chordata; Mammalia; Rodentia; Sciuridae. The record is from Rfam.
GGGGGUGUAGCUCAGUGGUAGAGCGCUUGCCUAGCAUGCGUGAGGCCGUGGGUUCAACCCCCACCAUCUGUC